AUUGAACGCCGGCGGAAUGCCUUACACAUGCAAGUCGAACGGCAGCACGGACUUCGGUCUGGUGGCGAGUGGCGAACGGGUGAGUGAUGUAUCGGAACGUGCCCAGUCGUGGGGGAUAACGUAGUGAAAAUUACGCUAAUACCGCAUACGAUCUAUGGAUGAAAGCGGGGGAUCGCAAGACCUCGCGCGAUUGGAGCGGCCGAUAUCAGAUUAGGUAGUUGGUGGGGUAAAGGCCCACCAAGCCAACGAUCUGUAGCUGGUCUGAGAGGACGACCAGCCACGCUGGAACGGAGACACGGUCCAGACUCCUACGGGAGGCAGCAGUGGGGAAUUUUGGACAAUGGGCGAAAGCCUGAUCCAGCCAUUCCGCGUGCAGGAUGAAGGCCCUCGGGUUGUAAACUGCUUUUGUACAGAACGAAAAGGUUUCUACUAAUACUAGGAGCUCAUGACGGUACUGUAAGAAUAAGCACCGGCUAACUACGUGCCAGCCGCCGCGGUAA
RNAcentral lists this ribosomal RNA (500 nucleotides) under uncultured bacterium. RNAcentral describes it as "partial 16S ribosomal RNA". It matches the Rfam family "Bacterial small subunit ribosomal RNA", at positions 30 to 523 of the family's 1533-position model. The record is from RNAcentral.